AAGACACUUGUUGAGUGCAACGAAACGACUAUACGUUUUCACUCCCUUUUAAGAAACAAAAUUAAAUGUUCUUGAAAUAUCGUUGGUAAAUAAUAAUAAAAUAAUACAAACUUAAUUCAGCGUAGUGAGAGAGAAAGAAUAACUGCACAAAACUUUUUCUCUUCGUAUAAACUCUUUUUUUUAUUUAUGGUUAUAAAAUUAAAUAAAUCAAAUAAGAACAACGUACAAAAUUGAACAAGAGUGUAUACGAAAAAAAUAAUGUGCAAUUAUCACUUCUUAAUAAAGUAUUUCAAACAAAUAGUUACGAUGUUUAAGUAAAAUUUUUUUUUUUGGUGGUAAAUUUGAAGUUAUAAGAAUAUAUAAAAUGAACACGUAAAAUAGUAAAAAGAAGGAAAACAUAAAAUGAAAGUACUAUAUUGGUGGCUGAAGCGCUACGCUCAGAGAUGCACUCAACUUUGCAAAAUAGAUGGGUUUCUUUAAAAUUUAUGUGGAGGGAUUACUCUAAAUUAGUUAUUGAUCUGUGGAAGAUAGGGGGGUUAUGUCCCUUGGAGAACUGUUGAAAACAUUCGUUAAUUGCCUUCAUCCUUUCGUUAUGUAACUUGAACGCAUAUUUAUCGGUAAACAAACUUUGUGAUUGAUAUUGUGAUUAAUGUGAGUUUAUUCUUCUCUAAAGUUUAUAUUCGGGAUAUGACUAUUCUCUUCCGACUUCCGACUACUCUUACUUUUAUAUUUGAUUGUAAUGAUACUGAUUAUUUGCGAGGUUUCUCGCUUUAGUUGAUUCUAUUUU
Molecule: long non-coding RNA, 787 nt
Filed under: Malus domestica (apple)
Lineage: Eukaryota; Viridiplantae; Streptophyta; Magnoliopsida; Rosales; Rosaceae
Description: long non-coding RNA (MDOM_LNC010160)
Source: RNAcentral